UUAAGCGACUAAGCGUACACGGUGGAUGCCCUGGCAGUCAGAGGCGAUGAAGGACGUGCUAAUCUGCGAUAAGCGUCGGUAAGGUGAUAUGAACCGUUAUAACCGGCGAUUUCCGAAUGGGGAAACCCAGUGUGAUUCGUCACACUAUCAUUAACUGAAUCCAUAGGUUAAUGAGGCGAACCGGGGGAACUGAAACAUCUAAGUACCCCGAGGAAAAGAAAUCAACCGAGAUUCCCCCAGUAGCGGCGAGCGAACGGGGAGCAGCCCAGAGCCUGAAUCAGUGUGUGUGUUAGUGGAAGCGUCUGGAAAGGCGCGCGAUACAGGGUGACAGCCCCGUACACAAAAAUGCACAURCUGUGAGCUCGAUGAGUAGGGCGGGACACGUGGUAUCCUGUCUGAAUAUGGGGGGACCAUCCUCCAAGGCUAAAUACUCCUGACUGACCGAUAGUGAACCAGUACCGUGAGGGAAAGGCGAAAAGAACCCCGGCGAGGGGAGUGAAAAAGAACCUGAAACCGUGUACGUACAAGCAGUGGGAGCACGCUUAGGCGUGUGACUGCGUACCUUUUGUAUAAUGGGUCAGCGACUUAUAUUCUGUAGCAAGGUUAACCGAAUAGGGGAGCCGAAGGGAAACCGAGUCUUAACUGGGCGUUAAGUUGCAGGGUAUAGACCCGAAACCCGGUGAUCUAGCCAUGGGCAGGUUGAAGGUUGGGUAACACUAACUGGAGGACCGAACCGACUAAUGUUGAAAAAUUAGCGGAUGACUUGUGGCUGGGGGUGAAAGGCCAAUCAAACCGGGAGAUAGCUGGUUCUCCCCGAAAGCUAUUUAGGUAGCGCCUCGUGAAYUCAUCUCCGGGGGUAGAGCACUGUUUCGGCAAGGGGGUCAUCCCGACUUACCAACCCGAUGCAAACUGCGAAUACCGGAGAAUGUUAUCACGGGAGACACACGGCGGGUGCUAACGUCCGUCGUGAAGAGGGAAACAACCCAGACCGCCAGCUAAGGUCCCAAAGUCAUGGUUAAGUGGGAAACGAUGUGGGAAGGCCCAGACAGCCAGGAUGUUGGCUUAGAAGCAGCCAUCAUUUAAAGAAAGCGUAAUAGCUCACUGGUCGAGUCGGCCUGCGCGGAAGAUGUAACGGGGCUAAACCAUGCACCGAAGCUGCGGCAGCGACGCUUAUGCGUUGUUGGGUAGGGGAGCGUUCUGUAAGCCUGUGAAGGUGUGCUGUGAGGCAUGCUGGAGGUAUCAGAAGUGCGAAUGCUGACAUAAGUAACGAUAAAGCGGGUGAAAAGCCCGCUCGCCGGAAGACCAAGGGUUCCUGUCCAACGUUAAUCGGGGCAGGGUGAGUCGACCCCUAAGGCGAGGCCGAAAGGCGUAGUCGAUGGGAAACAGGUUAAUAUUCCUGUACUUGGUGUUACUGCGAAGGGGGGACGGAGAAGGCUAUGUUGGCCGGGCGACGGUUGUCCCGGUUUAAGCGUGUAGGCUGGUUUUCCAGGCAAAUCCGGAAAAUCAAGGCUGAGGCGUGAUGACGAGGCACUACGGUGCUGAAGCAACAAAUGCCCUGCUUCCAGGAAAAGCCUCUAAGCAUCAGGUAACAUCAAAUCGUACCCCAAACCGACACAGGUGGUCAGGUAGAGAAUACCAAGGCGCUUGAGAGAACUCGGGUGAAGGAACUAGGCAAAAUGGUGCCGUAACUUCGGGAGAAGGCACGCUGAUAUGUAGGUGAAGUCCCUCGCGGAUGGAGCUGAAAUCAGUCGAAGAUACCAGCUGGCUGCAACUGUUUAUUAAAAACACAGCACUGUGCAAACACGAAAGUGGACGUAUACGGUGUGACGCCUGCCCGGUGCCGGAAGGUWAAUUGAUGGGGUCAGCGCAAGCGAAGCUCUUGAUCGAAGCCCCGGUAAACGGCGGCCGUAACUAUAACGGUCCUAAGGUAGCGAAAUUCCUUGUCGGGUAAGUUCCGACCUGCACGAAUGGCGUAAUGAUGGCCAGGCUGUCUCCACCCGAGACUCAGUGAAAUUGAACUCGCUGUGAAGAUGCAGUGUACCCGCGGCAAGACGGAAAGACCCCGUGAACCUUUACUAUAGCUUGACACUGAACAUUGAGCCUUGAUGUGUAGGAUAGGUGGGAGGCUUAGAAGUGUGGACGCCAGUCUGCAUGGAGCCGACCUUGAAAUACCACCCUUUAAUGUUUGAUGUUCUAACGUUGACCCGUAAUCCGGGUUGCGGACAGUGUCUGGUGGGUAGUUUGACUGGGGCGGUCUCCUCCUAAAGAGUAACGGAGGAGCACGAAGGUUGGCUAAUCCUGGUCGGACAUCAGGAGGUUAGUGCAAUGGCAUAAGCCAGCUUGACUGCGAGCGUGACGGCGCGAGCAGGUGCGAAAGCAGGUCAUAGUGAUCCGGUGGUUCUGAAUGGAAGGGCCAUCGCUCAACGGAUAAAAGGUACUCCGGGGAUAACAGGCUGAUACCGCCCAAGAGUUCAUAUCGACGGCGGUGUUUGGCACCUCGAUGUCGGCUCAUCACAUCCUGGGGCUGAAGUAGGUCCCAAGGGUAUGGCUGUUCGCCAUUUAAAGUGGUACGCGAGCUGGGUUUAGAACGUCGUGAGACAGUUCGGUCCCUAUCUGCCGUGGGCGCUGGAGAACUGAGGGGGGCUGCUCCUAGUACGAGAGGACCGGAGUGGACGCAUCACUGGUGUUCGGGUUGUCAUGCCAAUGGCACUGCCCGGUAGCUAAAUGCGGAAGAGAUAAGUGCUGAAAGCAUCUAAGCACGAAACUUGCCCCGAGAUGAGUUCUCCCUGACUCCUUGAGAGUCCUGAAGGAACGUUGAAGACGACGACGUUGAUAGGCCGGGUGUGUAAGCGCAGCGAUGCGUUGAGCUAACCGGUACUAAUGAACCGUGAGGCUUAACCUU
RNAcentral lists this ribosomal RNA (2902 nucleotides) under Escherichia coli. RNAcentral describes it as "bacterial LSU rRNA". The record is from RNAcentral. Lineage: Bacteria; Pseudomonadati; Pseudomonadota; Gammaproteobacteria; Enterobacterales; Enterobacteriaceae.